CACUCUCCAGUUAAUGAGAACUGAAAUAACCAGGGCCUGAUCUAACAAGGUAUCAUGCAGAACCAAGACACUGCGAAAACCUUUUAUAAUCAACAGCUUGUGUGCGGAUGCUGAAGUUAGACCAAGUGUUUUUCUUGUAUAAUACAGUUGUGAUAUUUCUUUGUUAAAGUGGAGAAUUCCAUUCCAGAGUUCAAGAUAGCUG
Non-coding RNA from Pelobates cultripes (western spadefoot toad), 202 nucleotides. Lineage: Eukaryota; Metazoa; Chordata; Amphibia; Anura; Pelobatidae. The record is from the annotation of a GenBank genome assembly.